RNAcentral lists this non-coding RNA (732 nucleotides) under Pongo abelii (Sumatran orangutan). Lineage: Eukaryota; Metazoa; Chordata; Mammalia; Primates; Hominidae. The record is from RNAcentral.
UGUUAACCAGGAUGUUCUUGAUCUUCUGACCUCGUGAUCUGCCCGCCUCGGCCUCCCAAAGUGCUGGGAUUAUAGGCGUGAGCCACUGCGCCCGGCCGAGCCGCCGAGUGUGAGACCAGCUCCCCUCCCAGCUAGGUGACCCAGGAUGACCUGGUACAGUCAUGCUGACUGAAGGCUUGGAGAGGCCAGGUGGGCACCUGAGUGGGGCGUCUCCCCAGGACUUCCUGAACCGUGGCCUCCAGCUCCUCUGUGGACACAGCCAUCUUGGCGUGCACAGUGCCGCCUGCCCCAGCCCCCCAGAGACUGCAUCAGGACCCUGGGUUCAGCUCAGCGGGGACCACAUCCAGGCUUCCCACAGCCCAGCCGCUGCCCACUCCUGGCCCAGCGCCAGCUUCCCCGCCCCUCCCACGCCACUUCUCCCUUGGCCCCAGGCCCAGCUUCCCUCCUUGCCCAGCACUGUGGUCCCUAGCCUGACAAGCUUCUCCCCAGCCACUGUCAUCUCCCCACUCUGUCUCCUCCGGCAGCCCAGCCCCCAGGCCCCCACCUACCUCCUAGAAGCCUCCGCUUCCCCCAGCCAGGCAGGUCCUGGGAGCACAGGCUGCUUCCUGCUUCCGGCUCCACACCACCUGAGGCCUUGGCAACCAGCCCCACCCUCCCCAGGGCCAGCAGAGGCCGCCCAGCCCAGGGGAGAGGGCCCAGGCCCAGCAGGUGCGCUCCCUGGCUCCGCACUGC